This 1931-nucleotide unclassified non-coding RNA is filed under the name Penaeus japonicus. RNAcentral's name for it is "arrestin domain-containing protein 3-like, transcript variant X7". Lineage: Eukaryota; Metazoa; Arthropoda; Malacostraca; Decapoda; Penaeidae. The record is from RNAcentral.
GAGUUCUUCGACCAUUCAAUGAUCCUGUAUAAAUCUUGUAAAGGGUUGGAAUAAUAACUCUAGAUCAGUAUAUAAGGGAAAAAAAUAUAUGAUAACAACAGUUGGUCGUACUAUCGGGGUCCGAGUUGUUGCUUGAGGGUAGAACUAUCCACAAUGCCCACUGGGAUAUCAAUAGAAUUUGACAACUCAAAAGCUGUGUUCUUUUCGGGCCAGACAAUAACAGGACGAGUUAGGGUUACCUGCGACAAGCCAAAGUAUUGCCGAGCAAUUGAAGUAGAAUUUCAAGGAUAUGGAAAAGUCCACUGGACAGAGAGAAGCAAAGCUCAGAAAAAUGGCAAACAAAGAACAAAGACGAUCCACUUUAAGAGUAGUGAGAGAUAUUACUUAAUGUCUUACAUUGUAUGGGGGAAUGGGACCACAGAGUCAGAGCUUCCUCCAGGCACGCACCUCUUCAACUUCUCCUUCCUCCUUCCCCAUGGCAUCCCAUCGUCCUUUGAAUCGCACAUUGGCAAAGUGCGUCACCAGUGCAAGGCCAAGAUGGACAUACCCUGGAAGACGGACAAGGUGUCUGUGAAGGCUUUCUCCGUGAAUACACUGUACGACUUGAACAUGGACCCUCAGGCUAAGACCAUAACCUACCACGCUGAAGGGAGGAAGAAGAAGGACCAUCGUAAGGUUGCCGAGCUCAAACGCCUGGAAAUUCCACCUGGAGAAGAUGACAACUGGAACAAUGUAGAGAUGUUGGUUCCAGCCUUGCCUCCCUCUCACCUCCAGUUUUGCAACCUGAUUGACAUUGAUUAUGAACUCAAGUUUGAAAUGUCUCCAUCUGGUUGUCACAUGGACCUAGAACACACAGCUCCUAUAAAAAUUGGCUCCAUCCCUCUUGUGCAAUACUUCAGCAAUUUUGUUCAAGGACCAGCCAUGAACUCGGCCCAGCCCAUGAUGCCCAACCAGCUUCCAGGUCCAGGUCAGCCUUCAGUGCCAAGCUAUGCCCCUCCUCCAGCACAAACCCCAUUGCCAAACUAUUCUCCAGUACCAGGACAACACCCAGGCUAUGCUCCUAUACCAGGUCAACAACCAGUUCCAAGUCAGCUUCCAGUGAUGAAUCCACCUCCAGUACCAGGCCAAGCUUCAUUACCAUGUCAGCCUCCUGUGCCAGGUCAGCCUCCAGUGCCAGAUCAACCACCAUUGAUGGGUCAACCACCAGGUCAGCCUGGUUAUGGUACUGGAACAGGUCAAUCUCCAGCGUUGGGCUUUGCUUUAGCUAUGCCAGGCCAGCAAACAGUCCAGCUGCCAGUGUAUCCCGGACAGCCGUCCAACAAUCCAGCCCAACCUAGCAUAGCAGUGAGCAAUGUAGAUGAGAACACUGCCCCAUACAACCCAAACUUCCAGCCUACAUCAUACCCCAUACCAGGGUCACCGAAGUUUCCAGGAUUCCAACUUUAUCCUCAGAUGCCCCUACCAACCUACAACCAGUGCAUGUUUGGAACUACCAGCAUUGCAGAGAUUGAUAGUGACAUUGACGAAGGCCAGAAUCAUAAUGAAGUUGGAUUUGCACCCCAUUAUGUAUCAUACAAUCUUAUAAAUUCCAAGAGGCUCCAGUCAGCUGCUUCAGUGGGAGAUACUGGAGGGGGCAUGGAUGGCAUAACUAGUGGAGUGAGUGACCUACACAUCCGUCGUGACAGUGCGAGCAGUGGUUCUAGUGGAGACCAUUAUCGUGGAGGGCACCAGGCAUUUUAGUGACUCCAGAGGAACAUGUUAAGGAAUUAAUAUUCCUUUCUUUGGGAAUAUGUGAUGCACCACUCAUUGUCCAUCACCAUGAGCAUCAUUCCAACUCAGACUCGGACAGCGAGAGACCAGCCGAGGCAGUGGUGGCUAAAGUUACAGGCCCCAGUACUAAGGACGCCGAUGCCAAUGGCAAUGACAGAGAU